This 253-nucleotide ribosomal RNA is filed under the name uncultured bacterium. RNAcentral describes it as "partial 16S ribosomal RNA". It matches the Rfam family "Bacterial small subunit ribosomal RNA", at positions 524 to 776 of the family's 1533-position model. The record is from RNAcentral.
UACGUAGGGGGCAAGCGUUGUCCGGAUUUAUUGGGCGUAAAGCGCUCGCAGGUGGUUCGUCGCGUCGUGCGUGAAAGACCCCGGCUCAACUGGGGGAGGUCGUGCGAUACGGGCGAACUGGAGGCCAGUAGGGGGAUGCGGAAUUUCGGGUGUAGUGGUGGAAUGCGUAGAGAUCCGGAGGAACACCAGCGGCGAAGGCGGCAUCCUGGACUGGUCCUGACACUCAUGAGCGAAAGCGUGGGGAGCGAUCCGG